CAGCCGCCACGGUAAUACGUAGGGUGCAAGCGUUAAUCGGAAUUACUGGGCGUAAAGCGUGCGCAGGCGGUUCUAUAAGACAGAUGUGAAAUCCCCGGGCUCAACCUGGGAACUGCAUUUGUGACUGUAGAGCUGGAGUGCGGCAGAGGGGGAUGGAAUUCCGCGUGUAGCAGUGAAAUGCGUAGAGAUGUGGAGGAACACCGAUGGCGAAGGCAGCCCCCUGGGCCAAUACUGACGCUCAUGCACGAAAGCGUGGGGAGCAAACAGGAUUAGAUACCCCGGUAGUCCCUGUCUCUUAUAC
Molecule: ribosomal RNA, 301 nt
Filed under: uncultured bacterium
Lineage: Bacteria
Description: partial 16S ribosomal RNA
Rfam family: Bacterial small subunit ribosomal RNA
Source: RNAcentral